AGGCCUAACACAUGCAAGUCGAACGGGAAUAGGGAGCUUGCUCCCUAUGAGAGUGGCGCACGGGUGCGUAACGCGUAUGCAACCUACCUGUAACUGGGGGAUAGCUCACCGAAAGGUGAAUUAAUACCGCAUAACAUCACGAAGAGGCAUUUCUUUGUGAUCAAAACUCCGGUGGUUACAGAUGGGCAUGCGUGUCAUUAGCUAGUUGGUGAGGUAACGGCUCACCAAGGCGACGAUGACUAGGGGAUCUGAGAGGAUGACCCCCCACACUGGUACUGAGACACGGACCAGACUCCUACGGGAGGCAGCAGUAAGGAAUAUUGGACAAUGGGGGCAACCCUGAUCCAGCCAUGCCGCGUGCAGGAAGACGGCCCUAUGGGUUGUAAACUGCUUUUGUCGGGGAAGAAACCCUUCUACGUGUAGGAGGUUGACGGUACUCGAAGAAUAAGGAUCGGCUAACUCCGUGCCAGCAGCCGCGGUAAUACGGAGGAUCCGAGCGUUAUCCGGAUUUAUUGGGUUUAAAGGGUGCGUAGGUGGCUUUGUAAGUCAGUGGUGAAAGUUUUCAGCUUAACUGGAAAAUUGCCAUUGAUACUGCAGGGCUUGAGUUCAGAUGAGGUAGGCGGAAUGUGUCAUGUAGCGGUGAAAUGCAUAGAUAUGACACAGAACACCGAUUGCGAAGGCAGCUUACUAAACUGAAACUGACACUGAGGCACGAAAGCGUGGGGAUCAAACAGGAUUAGAUACCCUGGUAGUCCACGCCCUAAACGAUGAUCACUCGAUGUGUGCGAUAUACAGUACGCGUCCAAGCGAAAGCGUUAAGUGAUCCACCUGGGGAGUACGCCGGCAACGGUGAAACUCAAAGGAAUUGACGGGGGCCCGCACAAGCGGAGGAGCAUGUGGUUUAAUUCGAUGGUACGCGAGGAACCUUACCCGGGCUUGAAAGUUAGUGAAGGAUCUAGAAAUAGAUCCGUCCGCAAGGACACGAAACUAGGUGCUGCAUGGCUGUCGUCAGCUCGUGCCGUGAGGUGUUGGGUUAAGUCCCGCAACGAGCGCAACCCCUAUGAAUAGUUGCCAGCAUGUAAAGG
This 1085-nucleotide ribosomal RNA is filed under the name uncultured bacterium. Its description in RNAcentral is "bacterial SSU rRNA". It matches the Rfam family "Bacterial small subunit ribosomal RNA", at positions 44 to 1131 of the family's 1533-position model. The record is from RNAcentral.